RNAcentral lists this ribosomal RNA (214 nucleotides) under uncultured eukaryote. RNAcentral describes it as "partial 18S ribosomal RNA". The record is from RNAcentral.
UCGUGGAGUGAUCUGUCUGCUUAAUUGCGUAUCAAUAAUAGAGACCUAGUAUACGCGUAGACUCACGUGGUAGUGACCCCCUCCUUCGCGAGGCGCGUGUCGCACACGUGUUAUACGCACAGGUCUCAGAUAGCAACGAACGUGACCGUAUUCUAUUGUUGCAGUGAAAUGCUUGCCUUCCCGGCAACGACCCACUGCUUAGUAUGCGUUGGCG